Molecule: long non-coding RNA, 565 nt
Filed under: Pollicipes pollicipes
Lineage: Eukaryota; Metazoa; Arthropoda; Thecostraca; Pollicipedomorpha; Pollicipedidae
Description: uncharacterized LOC119096035
Source: RNAcentral
GGUGUUGGCGUUCAUGCUUGACCUCUAGGCUGCCCUGCUCGUGUAUAAAACUGAGGCCACAGCGGGAGGAGGCAUCAGUCGCAGCACAACACUCAGCCAGCAGCUAUGAAGGUCGUCGCUCUCCUGCUUGUGGUCUGCGCCUCCGUGGCCUGGGCGAAGCCUCUCUGCAUUGGAGGCAUCUGCAUUCCUAACAGUCAGGCCACUGGAGGGGCUGCGGGCACCGUCACCAGUGGCACCAGCAAUACACCUGGUGGCACCAGCAAGAUUACGUCCGUCGGCUCCUCUGCAGGGGGAUCCGCCAGCGGGCCGUGUGCGAGCAGCACCAACCUCGCACAUGCCUCCAACAAGAACAAACAGGGACUGCUGGGCAAUGCGGAAUCAAGCGACACCGGAGCCGUCUCGAACCAGAACACCGGCUGCUAAAUGACUCAGUCGCAGUCAUCUCGGCAUGCGUCGCAGUGGCAGAUGUGAAACGCUUGUUACGUCGACAGACGUUGUGAUAUCGGGCGUCGGUUGUGAUAUGGGAUCGAAAUGUGCAAUACAGGCUUACCCCCGACGUGAUUGA